Schistocerca serialis cubense is the source of this 632-nucleotide long non-coding RNA. RefSeq lists it as uncharacterized. The transcript has 4 exons. The record is from RefSeq and is a predicted model, not a curated record. NCBI's taxonomy places the organism in Eukaryota, Metazoa, Arthropoda, Insecta, Orthoptera, Acrididae.
UAUGGCUGAUUGCACUUUGUGGUAUUUGUAGCCACGUUGGUCAUGGACGUUGUUCGCUUAAAAUAGCAAGUAUUGUGUAUUUUUGUGUUGAAUAAGUCAAACAAAGCUGUGCUUUUAGCUGCACUUUCGAAGCCAAGAAGAGAGGGAAGCAGCAAGAAGAAGAAUAUGACUGACGAACAUCUGCAGAGCAAGUUGGCAGAACACAAAAGCAACUGCAUUGUGUGGAGCAGAAUAGACGUAUACAAAUUUGGUGGACCCAAAGGCUGCAGUUGGACUCUUCACUGAUGAUGAAAAAUGGAAAAAUCACUUCACUCCAGACCAGUUUCAAACAAAUUGAGCUGGUGGAGUGAUAAAACUUAAACCAGAUGCUGUGCCAACCAGUUUUGUUGAUCGUAAGCUACCAGAGGGAUGUAAAGCUCCUGCUGAGAGGAAACCUGUCGGCCUACUAGAGAAACGAACUGAGGAUACCGAGGUUGGAGAGCCUUCAAAUGUGACCAAUGACAUCAGUCCUGCGGAGAACUUGGACACUACAGAAGAUGAUGUCCCCACCCUGAAGAACCUAGUACAACAGCUUCAGGCUGGAAUUGAAGCUUUAGAGGGAAAACUCAACCUCUCUCAGAAAGAGAAAUGAG